UUGCAGUGAUGAUACUGUACAAUGUGGUUUCACUUCACUGGCAGUUGAAUGAUGACAUUUCCUUGGCUGUGUCUGAGCAC
RNAcentral lists this small nucleolar RNA (80 nucleotides) under Sphenodon punctatus (tuatara). RNAcentral's name for it is "Small nucleolar RNA SNORD53/SNORD92 (ENSSPUG00000006312.1)". It matches the Rfam family "Small nucleolar RNA SNORD53/SNORD92". Rfam says of the family: U53 is a member of the C/D class of snoRNA which contain the C (UGAUGA) and D (CUGA) box motifs. Most of the members of the box C/D family function in directing site-specific 2'-O-methylation of substrate RNAs. Lineage: Eukaryota; Metazoa; Chordata; Lepidosauria; Sphenodontia; Sphenodontidae. The record is from Rfam by way of RNAcentral.